UACGAAGGGGGCUAGCGUUGCUCGGAAUUACUGGGCGUAAAGGGAGCGUAGGCGGAUAGUUCAGUCAGAGGUGAAAGCCCAGGGCUCAACCUUGGAACUGCCUUUGAUACUGGCUAUCUUGAGUUUGGGAGAGGUGUGUGGAACUCCGAGUGUAGAGGUGAAAUUCGUAGAUAUUCGGAAGAACACCAGUGGCGAAGGCGACACACUGGCCCGGUACUGACGCUGAGGUGCGAAAGCGUGGGGAGCAAACAGG
RNAcentral lists this ribosomal RNA (253 nucleotides) under uncultured bacterium. RNAcentral's name for it is "partial 16S ribosomal RNA". It matches the Rfam family "Bacterial small subunit ribosomal RNA", at positions 524 to 776 of the family's 1533-position model. The record is from RNAcentral.